This 500-nucleotide ribosomal RNA is filed under the name uncultured bacterium. Its description in RNAcentral is "partial 16S ribosomal RNA". It matches the Rfam family "Bacterial small subunit ribosomal RNA", at positions 30 to 523 of the family's 1533-position model. The record is from RNAcentral.
AUUGAACGCUGGCGGCAUGCCUUACACAUGCAAGUCGAACGGCAGCACGGGAGCAAUCCUGGUGGCGAGUGGCGAACGGGUGAGUAAAGUAUCGGAACGUGCCCAGUCGUGGGGGAUAACGUAGCGAAAGUUACGCUAAUACCGCAUACGAUCUAUGGAUGAAAGCGGGGGAUCGCAAGACCUCGCGCGAUUGGAGCGGCCGAUAUCAGAUUAGGUAGUUGGUGGGGUAAAGGCCCACCAAGCCGACGAUCUGUAGCUGGUCUGAGAGGACGACCAGCCACACUGGGAAUGAGACACGGCCCAGACUCCUACGGGAGGCAGCAGUGGGGAAUUUUGGACAAUGGGCGAAAGCCUGAUCCAGCCAUGCCGCGUGCAGGAUGAAGGCCUUCGGGUUGUAAACUGCUUUUGUACGGAACGAAAAGGACUGCCCUAAUACGGUGGUCCCAUGAUGGUACCGUAAGAAUAAGCACCGGCUAACUACGUGCCAGCAGCCGCCGCAG